AUACGGAGGAUGCGAGCGUUAUCCGGAUUUAUUGGGUUUAAAGGGAGCGUAGGUGGGAUAUUAAGUCAGCUGUGAAAGUUUGGGGCUCAACCUUAAAAUUGCAGUUGAUACUGGUUUCCUUGAGUACGGUACAGGUGGGCGGAAUUCGUGGUGUAGCGGUGAAAUGCUUAGAUAUCACGAAGAACUCCGAUCGCGAAGGCAGCUCACCGGGCCGGAACUGACACUGAUGCUCGAAAGUGCGGGUAUCAAACAGGAUUAGAUACCCUGGUAGUCCGCACAGUAAACGAUGCAUACUCGCUGUUUGCGAUACACUGUAAGCGGCCUAGCGAAAGCGUUAAGUAUUCCACCUGGGGAGUACGCCGGCAACGGUGAAACUCAAAUGAAUUGGCGGGG
RNAcentral lists this ribosomal RNA (393 nucleotides) under uncultured bacterium. RNAcentral describes it as "partial 16S ribosomal RNA". It matches the Rfam family "Bacterial small subunit ribosomal RNA", at positions 523 to 918 of the family's 1533-position model. The record is from RNAcentral.